GAUGAAGAACGUAGUGAAAUGCGAUAAGUAAUGUGAAUUGCAGAAUUCAGUGAAUCAUCGAAUCUUUGAACGCACAUUGCGCCCGCCAGCAUUCUGGCGGGCAUGCCUGUUCGAGCGUCAUUUCAACCCCUCAGGCCCUAGCGCCUGGCGUCGGAGGCUUUCCCCCCUCACCGGGGAACCUCUCAGAAACAGUGGCGGACCCGCCGCGGCUCCGAGCGCAGUAGUUAAAAUUUCUCGCUUCUGGAGUUAACCGCGGGGGAGUCUGAGCCGUUAAACACCGGUCCCCGGACCGAAUAACCAAGGUUGACCUCGGAUCAGGUAGGAAUACCCGCUGAACUUAAGCAUAUCAAUAAGCGGAGGA
RNAcentral lists this unclassified non-coding RNA (361 nucleotides) under soil metagenome. Its description in RNAcentral is "partial contains 5.8S ribosomal RNA, internal transcribed spacer 2, and large subunit ribosomal RNA". The stretch from base 1 to 120 matches the Rfam family "5.8S ribosomal RNA", at positions 35 to 154 of the family's 154-position model. The record is from RNAcentral.